AGAGUUUGAUCAUGGCUCAGAUUGAACGCUGGCGGCAUGCUUUACACAUGCAAGUCGAGCGGCAGCGCGGGGCAACCUGGCGGCGAGCGGCGAACGGGUGAGUAAUGCAUCGGAACGUGUCCCGGAGUGGGGGAUAACGCCGCGAAAGCGGCGCUAAUACCGCUAUGACUCUGAGGGGGAAAGUGGGGGACCUGCAAGGGCCUCAUGCUCUGGGAGCGGCCGAUGUCCGAUUAGCUUGUUGGUGAGGUAAUGGCUUACCAAGGCGACGAUCGGUAGCUGGUCUGAGAGGAUGAUCAGCCACACUGGGACUGAGACACGGCCCAGACUCCUACGGGAGGCAGCAGUGGGGAAUUUUGGACAAUGGGGGCAACCCUGAUCCAGCCAUGCCGCGUGCGGGAAGAAGGCCUUCGGGUUGUAAACCGCUUUUGGCCGGGAAGAAAAGGACGCGGUUAAUACCUGCGUUUUUUGACGGUACCGGCAGAAUCAGCACCGGCUAACUACGUGCCAGCAGCCGCGGUAAUACGUAGGGUGCGAGCGUUAAUCGGAAUUACUGGGCGUAAAGCGUGCGUAGGCGGUUCGUUGUGUCUGUGGUGAAAGCCCCGGGCUUAACCUGGGAAUGGCCAUGGAAACUGGCGAGCUGGAGUGUGGCAGAGGGGGGUGGAAUUCCGCGUGUAGCAGUGAAAUGCGUAGAGAUGCGGAGGAACACCGAUGGCGAAGGCAGCCCCCUGGGCUAACACUGACGCUGAGGCACGAAAGCGUGGGGGAGCAAACAGGAUUAGAUACCCUGGUAGUCCACGCCCUAAACGAUGUCAACUG
This 816-nucleotide ribosomal RNA is filed under the name uncultured bacterium. RNAcentral describes it as "bacterial SSU rRNA". It matches the Rfam family "Bacterial small subunit ribosomal RNA", at positions 8 to 818 of the family's 1533-position model. The record is from RNAcentral.